AAAUGCAUUUACAUUUCUGUAUACCAUGAUGACAAAUAGGCUUUGUAUGAUUUGUCUUCAUCCAAAUUAACUGAUGCACAGCUCAGUAGUCACACUUGCAAGUCCUCCGGGAUGCGGAUUGUACAUAUUCCCUUAGAGAAAGCCUUCAUGAGGUAGCUCAGUGAGAUGGGUAGAGGAUUGCAGUCAUUACUAUUAUAUACUAUUCUACUUUGAAACUUCUUCCCCUAUGUACUGUUAUUUGAUUCCUAGUGUACACAAACCUGUGACAGCACAGAUUUACCUCCAUGUCAUGUAAUUCUAGAUGAACAUCCACCAUAACACACACAAACCACACAUGUAGAAAGACGUAUCUCCUGGGCAUUUAUUGGAAUGCCAGCAUUGAAAUCCAGAUUUUGGUACAGUACAAGGCUAUCCAGUAUAACUGAGAUCUAGGCAACAGUGAUGGUCCAACAACAGUCAUUCAAACUGCAUGUUCAUAUAUUAAUACCACUUUCUUUUUUUUUUUCCAACUUUUUCAUCAAACAGGUUUUUCAAAAGAUGAUUAAUACAAAUAAAAAGUGAGAGGUGACGGUCAGUCACAACAUUGCAGGACAAAAAAAGUCUCAGUGAAACCUGGUGAAAACAUUUCUUUCAGGUUACUGAUGGAACACAAGAUACAAAACAAAGAGAAAGGAAACAAGGAAUGGUAAAUAGAAUCUGCUGAUUGUUUUUUUUUUAAGUCUGCACCUAUUUGAUGACUUAAGGAUCAAACAGGUGAUAUAUUUAAUGUGGAAAAUGAUCUAGUUUUAGUUUACAUUUUUUAGAGUACAUAACAUAUAGCAAGAACCCAACCCAUAUACACAGAAGUGCAUUUAUACAGGACUCAUGUUGAUUAAUGACAUAUUACAACCCUGUGGUGAUAUUAGGACAUAUACGAGGCACGCAGAAAUGACAGAUUCAUCACCUAUUAUUAACCUACUUGCAGUAAACAUUGGAUUGAGGAUCCUUUGGGCCGAGUCACCUCGUUCCAUCCUCCGAUUUGUGAGGAUCGACUGCCGCUCUUUUUGGCAGCUUUCGUUUGGUCCGCUUUGUCGCUCGUAUCUGAAAGAACUGUCGGCCCCCCUGUCAGUGCAUCCGUGCAAAGGCUCAUGGGACUUUUUUCCUCAGUUGUGUGUGUGAGGUCUUGCGGUGCUUCUUCCUCCGUAUAUUUAUUCUUUUCUUUGUUUCCUUAGGCCUCCGCUUGAAUGCGCUUCCUCCGAGG
This is a long non-coding RNA of Sphaeramia orbicularis (orbiculate cardinalfish), 1240 nucleotides long. RefSeq lists it as uncharacterized. NCBI's taxonomy places the organism in Eukaryota, Metazoa, Chordata, Actinopteri, Kurtiformes, Apogonidae. The record is from RefSeq and is a predicted model, not a curated record. The transcript is spliced from 2 exons.